This 253-nucleotide ribosomal RNA is filed under the name uncultured bacterium. RNAcentral's name for it is "partial 16S ribosomal RNA". It matches the Rfam family "Bacterial small subunit ribosomal RNA", at positions 524 to 776 of the family's 1533-position model. The record is from RNAcentral.
UACGUAGGUGGCAAGCGUUGUCCGGAUUUAUUGGGCGUAAAGCGAGUGCAGGUGGUUCAAUAAGUCUGAUGUGAAAGCCUUCGGCUCAACCGGAGAAUUGCAUCAGAAACUGUUGAACUUGAGUGCAGAAGAGGAGAGUGGAACUCCAUGUGUAGCGGUGGAAUGCGUAGAUAUAUGGAAGAACACCAGUGGCGAAGGCGGCUCUCUGGUCUGCAACUGACGCUGAGGCUCGAAAGCAUGGGUAGCGAACAGG